AAGUCGUAACAAGGUUUCCGUAGGUGAACCUGCGGAAGGAUCAUUAACGUGUUCGUUCGGCCGUUCGGGUCGGCCCUGCACCGACGGAGACGUCGUGCUGCGGGCUCCCGGACGCGCCUUCCAAACCAAACCCCUGUGAACCUUUGGGAGGGUCGAGCCUUCGCCGGCGACGCCGUCCCCUUUACAAACUCUUGUAUCUCAUAGAAUGACCGCGGACAUCGUCUGCCUAAACACAUAACAACUUUCAACAACGGAUCUCUUGGCUCUC
Molecule: unclassified non-coding RNA, 268 nt
Filed under: Subulicystidium sp.
Lineage: Eukaryota; Fungi; Basidiomycota; Agaricomycetes; Trechisporales; Hydnodontaceae
Also listed under: 1 other name
Description: partial internal transcribed spacer region
Rfam family: Eukaryotic small subunit ribosomal RNA (bases 1-46)
Source: RNAcentral